AUUGAACGCUGGCGGCAUGCCUUACACAUGCAGGUCGAACGGCAGCACGGGAGCAAUCCUGGUGGCGAGUGGCGAACGGGUGAGUAAAGUAUCGGAACGUGCCCAGUCGUGGGGGAUAACGUAGCGAAAGUUACGCUAAUACCGCAUACGAUCUAUGGAUGAAAGCGGGGGAUCGCAAGACCUCGCGCGAUUGGAGCGGCCGAUAUCAGAUUAGGUAGUUGGUGGGGUAAAGGCUCACCAAGCCGACGAGCUGUAGCUGGUCUGAGAGGACGACCAGCCACACUGGGACUGCGACACGGCCCAGACUCCUACGGGAGGCAGCAGUGGGGAAUUUUGGACAAUGGGCGAAAGCCUGAUCCAGCCAUGCCGCGUGCAGGAUGAAGGCCUUCGGGUUGUAAACUGCUUUUGUACGGAACGAAAAGGUUUGGCCUAAUAAGCUGAGCUCAUGACGGUACCGUAAGAAUAAGCACCGGCUAACUACGUGCCAGCCGCCGCCGUAA
Molecule: ribosomal RNA, 500 nt
Filed under: uncultured bacterium
Lineage: Bacteria
Description: partial 16S ribosomal RNA
Rfam family: Bacterial small subunit ribosomal RNA
Source: RNAcentral